Molecule: ribosomal RNA, 400 nt
Filed under: uncultured bacterium
Lineage: Bacteria
Description: bacterial SSU rRNA
Rfam family: Bacterial small subunit ribosomal RNA
Source: RNAcentral
UCUGACGCUCUUGGAGACAGGGNUUCCCUUCGGGGCAGGGUUGACAGUUGGUGCAUGGUUGUCGUCAGCUCGUGUCGUGAGAUGUUGGGUUAAGUCCCGCAACGAGCGCAACCCUUGUCAUUAGUUGCUACGCAAGAGCACUCUAGUGAGACUGCCGUUGACAAAACGGAGGAAGGUGGGGACGACGUCAAAUCAUCAUGCCCCUUAUGACCUGGGCUACACACGUACUACAAUGGCCGUGAACAAAGAGAAGCAAGACCGCGAGGUGGAGCAAAACUCAAAAAACGGUCCCAGUUCGGAUUGCAGGCUGAAACCCGCCUGCAUGAAGUUGGAAUUGCUAGUAAUCGCGGAUCAGCAUGCCGCGGUGAAUACGUUCCCGGGCCUUGUACACUCCGCCCGU